This 496-nucleotide ribosomal RNA is filed under the name uncultured bacterium. RNAcentral describes it as "partial 16S ribosomal RNA". It matches the Rfam family "Bacterial small subunit ribosomal RNA", at positions 28 to 507 of the family's 1533-position model. The record is from RNAcentral.
GAUGAACGCUGGCGGCGUGCCUAAUACAUGCAAGUCGAGCGAACGGACGAGAAGCUUGCUUCUCUGAUGUUAGCGGCGGACGGGUGAGUAACACGUGGAUAACCUACCUAUAAGACUGGGAUAACUUCGGGAAACCGGAGCUAAUACCGGAUGAUAUUUUGAACCGCAUGGUUCAAAAGUGAAAGACGGUCUUGCUGUCACUUAUAGAUGGAUCCGCGCUGCAUUAGCUAGUUGGUAAGGUAAUGGCUACCAAGGCAACGAUGCAUAGCCGACCUGAGAGGGUGAUCGGCCACACUGGAACUGAGACACGGUCCAGACUCCUACGGGAGGCAGCAGUAGGGAAUCUUCCGCAAUGGGCGAAAGCCUGACGGAGCAACGCCGCGUGAGUGAUGAAGGUCUUCGGAUCGUAAAACUCUGUUAUUAGGGAAGAACAUAUGUGUAAGUAACUGUGCACAUCUUGACGGUACCUAAUCAGAAAGCCACGGCUAACUACGUG